Molecule: long non-coding RNA, 308 nt
Organism: Sinocyclocheilus grahami
Lineage: Eukaryota; Metazoa; Chordata; Actinopteri; Cypriniformes; Cyprinidae
Exons: 3
Source: RefSeq, a predicted model, not a curated record
UGCUUUUGCAGUAUGCCUGAUCUGUCAAACUGAAGGGAGAGCAAUAUUUGUGUGUUCCCUCUCAGAUGAGGAUAUUCAUAAAUGCGGGAGAUGUCUGGAGGAGUUCUCCGCUCUGGAUGCUUUCAUCCAACAUAAACUCAGCAGGAGCUGCAGGCAUCCUCAGCAAGACCAUCAGACAAAUGUUGUCCCAAAUGAAGGUGCUUCCGCUGAGGUGAAAUUGACUGAAAAUGAUAGUUCAUCUGAUGAAGCUGGCACGUCGAAUGCAGACAAGAGAGAAAAAGCAGCAGCUGGAGGAAAAAAGAGAAGCC